UUUGGAAAAGCUUUACAGGCACAGAGCACCAUCGCAUUGGUAAACACAGUUUUGACAAGCUUAGGCCUCCUGGCGUUGCAUGUUUACUUUCAGGCCCAAGUAGGAUGGUGACGAGCUUGAUCUCCGGUGGAGUAGCAGGAAUCGCUGCCUCAACAGCGGUGUUUCCAAUCGACUUAACUCGAGGGCGACCGGAGAUGGACACCGGCUUACAAGCCUGGGAUUGCGAGCGCGCCGAGGCACAUUGUUCGCACCCAAGGCUACGCUGGGUUGUACAGGGCGAUUUUUCCUGAGUACCUCAAGGUUUUUCCGGUCCCCGAUUCAUUUCCAACCGUCAGAUAUUCUUGAAUCGACGGCCUUGGUUGAAUUUCCAGCAAAUGUUUAGGGUUCUUGCGAUGGAUGAGACUUGGCGACGGCAGCGAUUCGAUGCGCCGCACCAGCAUUCGCUCCUUCGGCAGCGCCGCCGCGGGCGCCCGAUCA
Long non-coding RNA from Selaginella moellendorffii, 477 nucleotides. RefSeq lists it as uncharacterized. The record is from RefSeq and is a predicted model, not a curated record. NCBI's taxonomy places the organism in Eukaryota, Viridiplantae, Streptophyta, Lycopodiopsida, Selaginellales, Selaginellaceae. The transcript has 2 exons.